This 464-nucleotide small RNA is filed under the name Pongo abelii (Sumatran orangutan). RNAcentral describes it as "retained intron". The record is from RNAcentral. Lineage: Eukaryota; Metazoa; Chordata; Mammalia; Primates; Hominidae.
AUUCGGGGUGAGUGUUUUGCUUUCCUUCUUAGAGUCAUAUUCUCUGUUUUUUUUUUAACCCUACUGUUAAACAAAACUUUGAGGGUAUAUUUAAAUUUUGUGUUGUUAUUCUUUAAUUACAUUUUGUUUCUUUUCUCAUUUUUAUUAAUACCUUAUUUUAAAGGAACAAAUCUGAUGUUCAAGGACAAGUUGUUGUUUUUUCCUUUUUAGUUUCAUUUCUUUUCCUUUUCUGCUGUUUCACAAGUUGAAUUUUUUUUUUUUUUAAGCUUAUGUAACUCACUACCUAGACAAGACUUUCUACAAUCUAACAACAGUAGCCCUUCAUGACUGGGCUACUUACAGUGAGAUGAGAAACUUAGCUACUCAGCGUUAUGGACUGGUUAUGACAGAGGCACAUCUUCCCAGUCAGACUUUGGAACAGGGCCUUGAUGUUUUAGAAAUUAUGAGAAACAUUCAUAUAUUUG